Non-coding RNA from Python bivittatus (Burmese python), 740 nucleotides. Lineage: Eukaryota; Metazoa; Chordata; Lepidosauria; Squamata; Pythonidae. The record is from RefSeq and is a predicted model, not a curated record.
AACAAGUACCAUCAGACAUGCUGUUGUUUGGGAACUAAAUGUAAACUAUUGUGAGCUGCUCAGAUGAAGAAUGGAGGAACAAAUGAGCCCCUCCAACCCCAGAAUGGCCUGAAAUAUCAUCUCUGCCCACUGUAGUAUGUUCUGCAGAGUGCAUGUGAAAGGAACUAUGUUUAUCAGCAAAAGGAAUCCUUCACCAAUGCUAGUCCACCAAUGUCACCACAAGCAUUGAAGAGCCACAGGAGUCACAGCUUCUUUAAAGUGCAAUUGUCCCUUUAUGGUCCCUUUCUACUGUCACAAUUCUCAAAUGAAUGCAAACAGCACGCUGGUGGGUCUCCAAAGCUUAAUUAAAGCUCAAGAUUUGAAUAUAUCACAUCGCUUUGCAUUUGUCCUUCAAACAGAUAUACAGUGCAAACAAAAAUAGAGAACAACAUAAUUUUGUAUUACUCUAGCUGAACGAUUAGAAAAUGAAAUAAACGAAGCCUUCAGAAAUAAUUAGUAUUGUCAUUCGCUUAUCUGGAUGCAUUUUGACAAAUGAAUGUGCAUCUGAAGUUUAUAACCAAAUACAUAUUACGUGAUUCCUACCAAAACAAUGAUUCGUUGUGCAAAUCUUAAUCAGUUCAAGCUUUAAAAAUAUCUGAUUUACCUGUUUGAAACAGGUAGAUUUUUAAAAAAAUCUCCCUGAGUUAUUACUCAGUGUUUGAAACAAUAUAUUCAGAUGAUUGUUUAAAUAUGACUAUACU